UGCUUAUUUCUUGUUGGCUUUAGGGGUGGAGGAGCAAAGGGACUACUCUUCAUUAGUCUUCCCUAAAGGAAUAUAGAAGUUCUAACUGUCUUCUCAAUUGGAAGGGUACAGAAAGUGGUCCCUCUUUCCAAUUCUGUUCACUGAAGCUUUAUGGGGUUUGUGUCAUGAAUAUUAUGAACUUUUCUCUACAUAUUUCUUUUAGGGUAACUGAAGAUGUCAAAUGGCUCACUUCUCAUUGUGGAUCAAAGCUAGUUUUAUCAUCAUGUUGGCAUUUUAUCUUUGUUCUGAUACUGCAUUGUCUGAGUUGCCUGCUGUGUUGGCUGAGCCAAACUGUGACAUAUACAAAGACCCAGCACUUGAUUACACCAGGAAAUUUCCUUCUAUCUGUGGAUCCAAUGGUAAAACCUAUGAUAACUCAUGCAUGUUUUGCAUCACAGAAAGGUAAGGGCACAAUGGUAAAUAUUUUCUCUUUGUAUAGAAAUAACAGUGUCAAUAUACUAGGAAUUACUGAGUUUCUCUCAACCUACAAUCAUAUACACAGUAAACAGCUUUUUUUUUCCACUGAAACUUGA
Molecule: long non-coding RNA, 572 nt
Filed under: Papio anubis (olive baboon)
Lineage: Eukaryota; Metazoa; Chordata; Mammalia; Primates; Cercopithecidae
Description: lncRNA (ENSPANG00000047919.1)
Source: RNAcentral